UUUGGGUUUCAGCAGAGGAUACUCAUAGGUUAACACUGCUGACUGAUGUCACUAUGCAGGUCUGUAAUUGUCGCAGUCUCCUGGUACUUGGGCUUCAUUCGAAUCUAGUUUUUCAAAUGGAGAAAGCUCCGUUUCCAAGCUCCUUGGGUUGUAACAUUUCAUCUUAGGAUGGCCAUGAAAUUCAUGUUUAUGAAGCCAUCACUGAAGGUCAUGUCUGCUGCCUGGUGAUGAAAUUAUUUGCCAGAUUGUAUAAAAACAAAACAAAAAACGAUUUAAGCCACUCAAGUACUAACAGCUGUUUUGCUGGGCCAGCUAUCAGGUCAGGGCUGAAAAAGACACAGCAGCAACCUUGAAGCCUUUGUAGACGCUGGAUUCAAGAACAGUGAGCAACAGGACCCGAGCACCUGGCUACUGGGCAAGGUGGGGGAGGAGCCAAGGAAGGAAGAGGGCGGACAUGAUGGAGAACCAUGCAGAAGCUGAGGGAGAGAGGAGCACUCAGAAGACGGGCAUAGAAGUCCUCGGGCUGUGGGAAGUCAGAUGAGGAGAUGUGAGGAAGCCUGAGGAUGGUUCCAUUCAUUGUUCCUGGGCCUCAAGAACUGAGAUUUGAGAACUACAUAGCAGGCCAUGAGUCCCAGCUACUUAGGAAGCUGAAGCUGGGCCACAGCGAUACCAGUCCAAGUGGCAGAAAGUUCCUGAAAAUAAAGGUAGGUGCUCAUGCCUUCCAGGCUGAUUGGACCGGGGUCACCAGAAUUGAGUCGGGAUAUUAUUUUGUGCUUAGAUCCUUUCAUGCCUUUGCUUCUGUCGUUGAGUGAGUCGAUGGGUUGGUUGUUCCCAAGCUUCCUUGCCACAUAAUAACUGCAGCGGAAGUUAACAUUUCUGCUUUAUAGUUGUGAUAGUAUGCAAGCAACUGCUUAGAAGCACAGGCAAAUAAGUGCAACAAAGGAUUUUCCCAGCUUCAAUAGCUUCCCUAAAAUACAAACAUUUCUCUGACUAGGCAUAUUUCCAGUCACUAGAAGUCAUGCAGAUUUCAUAUAUAUACGUGUGUGUGUGUGUGUGUAUAUAUAUGUAUAUGUGUAUAUAUGUGUGUAUCAGCUGCUUUUCUUUACCUACUCCUUUAAGCAUGUAAGAGUGUGUGGGGCAGGUUUUCUUUCAGCAGUCCACUGCAGAUUUUAAAUGCGAUCCUUUAUUUUCUACAUAAGUCCUAGACAGACUUCAUACCUUGACCAUCUCAAGCAAGCCAGGCUUCCAAGUAACUUCCAGAACAUUAUGUGCUCCAUGCCAGUGGGUUGAGCACAUUCUAUCCGUUCGUCUAUUUACUGUUCAAGGUUUGCAGCCUCUCCAGACCACUUCUGCGUGUGUGUGUGUGUGUGUGUCUGUGUGUGUGUGUGUGUGUGUGUCUGUGUGUGUGUGUGUGUGUGUCUGUGUGUGUGUGUGUCACUGUGGUAGACCCAUGGGGAUACAUCCCAAGACCUCCAGUGGAUGUCUGAAGCCCAGAAGAGAAUGGAAUCUAUUCAGUGUAUCAGUUAUCUCAAAGAAAGGUGUUCUAGAACCCAAAUGGGUAUCAAAAUCCAUAGAUAUUUAGGAUUCAAUUCUAAAGUGGCACAGCAUUUGCAUUGGCUGACAUACAUUCUCCAGUAGACUUUAUUUUUAAAUAAUAUUACUUUUUGAAAUUAUAAUUACCUCACUUCUCCCUUUGUUGUUGCGGUUCAUUGGUUCCAUAGCUGGACAGGAAUAUUGAGUGUUUUCCUCCCUUGGAAGCUUGCAUGGAACCUUCUAGUACUAUGAAAGCCAGUCAUCAGGGAGAGGCUUUCAUCUCACAACCAGCUCAGGUCCUCUGGUCUUGCAUCCAAGAUGCAAGCUGUCUUCUGCAGUAGGGACUUACCUUCUACUGGGAGGCAACCAAGGACAACAACAACAAUAGCCUGUAAUGUUUUGGGAGUCUCUCAGCUCUGACCAAAAACUCAAAAGGAUGCUUCCCACGCCCGGUGUUGGGGUUUUUGUUAUACAGUCUGUCGCUCUUGGGGGUAGCAUUGUCAUUUGUAAUGUAUAUGCACAUUUAUUAUAUGUAAUUUUGUGGGAAUGAAUAAUAAUUUGUCAUAAUUUGACUCCUU
Molecule: long non-coding RNA, 2111 nt
Filed under: Mus musculus (house mouse)
Lineage: Eukaryota; Metazoa; Chordata; Mammalia; Rodentia; Muridae
Description: long non-coding RNA chr2:49554037-49556148
Source: RNAcentral